RNAcentral lists this ribosomal RNA (207 nucleotides) under uncultured bacterium. RNAcentral's name for it is "partial 16S ribosomal RNA". It matches the Rfam family "Bacterial small subunit ribosomal RNA", at positions 568 to 774 of the family's 1533-position model. The record is from RNAcentral.
CACGUAGGCGGAUAUUUAAGUCAGGGGUGAAAUCCCAGAGCUCAACUCUGGAACUGCCUUUGAUACUGGGUAUCCUGAGUAUGGAAGAGGUAAGUGGAAUUCCGAGUGUAGAGGUGAAAUUCGUAGAUAUUCGGAGGAACACCAGUGGCGAAGGCGGCUUACUGGUCCAUUACUGACGCUGAGGUGCGAAAGCGUGGGGAGCAAACA